UAACCAAGAAAUGGGCAUCUUCUCACACA
This 29-nucleotide non-coding RNA is filed under the name Rattus norvegicus (Norway rat). The record is from RNAcentral. Lineage: Eukaryota; Metazoa; Chordata; Mammalia; Rodentia; Muridae.